GUCGCGGCAAAAUCCGCGACCGGGUUUGGCGACCCGAUAGGAAGGAGGCGCAGUAGCGCCCACACCAUUGCAGGCGCUUUUUUU
RNAcentral lists this small RNA (84 nucleotides) under Salinicola sp. MIT1003. Lineage: Bacteria; Pseudomonadati; Pseudomonadota; Gammaproteobacteria; Oceanospirillales; Halomonadaceae. The record is from RNAcentral.